Long non-coding RNA from Mus caroli (Ryukyu mouse), 216 nucleotides. RefSeq lists it as uncharacterized. NCBI's taxonomy places the organism in Eukaryota, Metazoa, Chordata, Mammalia, Rodentia, Muridae. The record is from RefSeq and is a predicted model, not a curated record.
GUGAAUUGUGUCUGAAUUUUGAUUAGUUGAUCUCUUUCUUCUGUGAAAAGAAGUUCCUGUAAUGAUGGCUAGGAUCUACAUUUAUUUAUGGGUAUAAAGAUGCUCGAGGUGUCUAGAUCAAGAUGCCAGCAGGCUUGGUGCCAGAGACUUGACAGCUUAACAUGUUGAUUACAUCUCACUAGACGUGCGGAAGGGAUAUCAAUGUUUUCUAAGCAG